UACGGAGGAUGCAAGCGUUAUCCGGAAUCAUUGGGCGUAAAGCGUCCGCAGGUGGUCACUCAAGUCUGCUGUCAAAUACUAGAGCUUAACUCUGGAAAGGCAGUGGAAACUGAGAAACUAGAGUCCGGUAGGGGUAGCGGGAAUUCCCAGUGUAGCGGUGAAAUGCGUAGAUAUUGGGAAGAACAUCGGUGGCGAAAGCGCGCUACUGGGCCGGAACUGACACUCAGGGACGAAAGCUAGGGGAGCAAAAGGG
Molecule: ribosomal RNA, 253 nt
Filed under: uncultured bacterium
Lineage: Bacteria
Description: partial 16S ribosomal RNA
Rfam family: Bacterial small subunit ribosomal RNA
Source: RNAcentral